RNAcentral lists this long non-coding RNA (8790 nucleotides) under Solanum lycopersicum (tomato). Its description in RNAcentral is "long non-coding RNA (SLYC_LNC001058)". The record is from RNAcentral. Lineage: Eukaryota; Viridiplantae; Streptophyta; Magnoliopsida; Solanales; Solanaceae.
UUUUUUUUUUUUUUUAAAAUGUUUGUUUCUUUAUAGGGAUGAUGCCACGAUAUUGUUGAUCAUGCUCCUCCACUAUAGAAACAAUUUUGAUUUGAGGUCGGUCUAAAAAAUAGUUUACGUUUUUUGAAAAUGAUUUCAAAGAUUUAAUUUACAUGUAGGCACAUAAAUAUUUACACAUAAAUACACAUAAUUCCUUUUGAAAUUCAUGGGUAGGUGGUACUUCCGGGGACGCGUCGGGUUUAAAAAAAUGGAACUAGACCUCGUAGUUCCUUUGACUUUCCCACUAACGAUAGGUUAGGAGAUAGUGCUUAUAAUUUAUUUUUAAAAUAAAACAAUGUCAUAAUCAAUCCAAAGUUUUAAAGGAAGAUUGAAUAAUGACUUUUUUUAAAAAAUUAUGUUGCAAGGUUUUGAUAUGAAAUAUUUUUAAAAGCCAAGUAAUUUGCUAAAUGCAUGAAAUGAUUCUAAUUUAGUAUUAUUAAAAAAAACAUAUUGCAUCAUGAAUGCGGAAGACAAAUAGGAUAAUAUUAACUAAUUUUUGGGUAGAGGGCACAAAUAUGCACAAACAAAUUUUAUUUUUAUAGAAAUGUUAAAAGUUCUUUACAAGCCUAUAGACAUGAAUUUCUAGGUGUUCAAAAAUAAGACAUAUAUGCAUGAUUUUUGUAAAUCUAAAUGAUAUGAACAAAUUAAUCUUUAGGCAUGGUUUCUACAUGACAAGACAAUGCUAACGUUAUAACAUUGUUAAAACACCCAAUCAGCCUACUAAAUUAUUAUAAUUUGAUUUUAACAUUAAAAAUUAAUGGAAUCUAGUUUAUUAUUUUGUAGACUUAUUAACAAAGCAUCAAACAAUUGAUUGGAUUAUAACACCUACAAACAAUAAUUCUAGGUGGUUAAAGACAAAUCUAUAGGCAUGAUUUCUAAAAUUUUAUAAUGAACAAGUAAGCAUAUAAAUCCCCCUCCCCUAGACGACCCCCCAAAUAAAUUUAUAUAUAUGAUCUUUAGAGUUACAAUUGUUACAACAUUCGAAUAAAUAAAAUAGGAAAAAUUUAUAUAUACAUUCAAAUAAACAAAUAAAUCUUUCUUCAAUUAAUCUCCAACUUGAACUUCAAGUUUGAAACCUGUCAAAAUAAUCAAAUAACUACACAAGUAAUCACACUUAUUAGUCAAGGUGAGACAAUAUGCAAUCAUUUAAUGACGAAUUAUACAUAUAUAUAUAUAUAUAUAUAUAUAUAUAUAAAAUAAUAGUUUACACAAAUGUGUGAAUGUAAAGAUAGUGUGAAUGUUAAGAACACUAACCAGUUAAGCAAAACAAAUUGAUUCAACUUUUACUUGAACAAAGUAGUAAGAUAGCGAAGAAGAACACUUGAAUAAUUACCGGAUUCUCAAUGUAUUGUUAGAGUAGCAAGAGAGAAGAGAGAGUGAUGAGAGAAUUUGUGAUUGAGAGUGAAUGAGUGUAUGAGUUGAUGAGAGAACUUGUUAUGAAAGAUGAGUGUCUGUGAAUGAAUUGAGUACGAGGGAGUCCUAUUUAUAUAGCAAAAGGAGAAAAAAAAUAUAAAAAAAAUAAGGUAAAUAAAUAUUUUUUAGGAAUCAAGUAAGUAUACUAUUUUCCUUAUUCAAAAGGAGAUUCAAAUCAGCAAAAAUGUAAAAUAUAUCAUUUCCAAAUAUUACAAGUAAGAGUAAUUAGAAAGAUCAAUAUUAUUUGUCCUUAAAUAAAGAAGAAUCAAAAUCAGAUUAUAUUAUUUAUUCAUUUUUUCCAAAUAUAUAAAAAACUAAAUAUGACAAGAAAACAAUUAAAGUUUCAAUGAAUACUAUUUUUCCUUAAAUAAGAGCAUGAAAUCAGGUUUAUAUAAGAAUUAACAAAUUUAAUCAAGUAAGAAAUGAAAUUAGGAAGGGUAAUAUUUUCCUUAAAUAAUGAAGAACCAAAUUAAAUUUUUUUUACUAAAUAAACAAAUAAGUAAUCAAUCCUAUUUUUAAAUAAGGUAAACAAAUAAACUCAAUAAUACAACCAAGUAAAACAAGCAUGGAAAGGAUUAUUUCCAACAAUAAAUUGAUUUAGUUAAACCAAUAGACGAGAUUAUUAAGGAAAGGGAGGAAUUACAUUCAGAUUAUAAUUUGAAAGAAUCAAAUAAAUCACAAAAUUGGUGCGAGAUAUCGAUUCAAAUCCAACAUUACAGUAAUCUUUCCCAAAUUCAAUAACAAAAAUCAAUAAACAUGUCAAAAUCACCCAAAGUAGUAAAAUAAUAGAGGUUGAUAGUCUUAAUUCGUAAAAGCAAAUAAUUGAUUAUUCCCUGAAUGAAGCUUCUAUUAUUGAGCCAAAUUAGUUCAUAUUAUGCAUAAACAUAAGUCUUUCCAGAGCCUUCCAAGAUUAUAUAUCUAGAUUUUCAUAAAAAUAACGAAGGGAUAAACGUGCUGAAAUUACUAGAUAAUUCAGAAGACAUUGAAGAAAAAUUCAAGAUGUAAGUACAUAUAGCUAAGCAAAACAAAUACAAACACAAAUCAGUAUAAUAACUGUACGAAAUAAAAUGAAACCAAUCCAAUCAUGCAAAGCUUGAAUGCUCACGAUAAUUGAAAUCAUGAACAAAGAGUUGGAAUGAAGCACAAAUUAAUUAGAAUGUACCAAUCCACACUUAGCAAACUUGAUGAACCUUAAAAGUUGUUAUCGGAGUUCACUAUUGUUUUGUUGUUUCCGCUGCCAAAAAGCAAAGAAAGGAGCGAAAUCACCUAGUUGUGCACCAUCUUUGUGCAGUUGUUGGUCGGUUUCUCGCGUGUCUACUGCUUAUUGUUACAGGUGUCGGAGCUGCUGGUUACCUGCAGUUGCUGCUGCCUGGAAGCUCGCCUGAGCGUUGCCAGCAAUGGAGAAAAGAAGGCAGGAAAGAAGGGAAGAGAGAAGAGAAAGAAGAGGCGAGGAGAGACAGAAAGAGAGCGGCUCUUGCUGGUUGCUGCAGCUUCUUGCUGGUGUCCUCGCUAGCUUCUAUUGGAGAAUAGAAGCGAAAAAGAAAAGGAAGGAGAAGAGAGGAGAAGGUUGUCAUGGAUGGCCGACUCAUUGCCUCGCCGGAGUUCGCUUGAUGCUCCUCGCCGGACUGCUGUGCGCUGCUGCUGGCGGACCGCUGCUGUCCAUGCCGGUCAAUGCUGUCCGCUGCUGCUUGUGGGCCGCUGCUGUCCAUGCCGGUCACUGCUGUCCGCUGCUGCUGGUGGUCGCUGCUCUCGCCGGAGCGAAUGGAGAAGAGAGAGUGGGUGGCUGGCGGCUGCAAGGAGAGGGGAGGGAGAAGAAUAAUUUUAGGUCUUGAUUUUUAGUGUAUUGAAAUCAAGAAGAAAAGGGAAUUUUAUCACAACCGUUGAUUUAAUAAGAAAUAAAGGGAUAUGAUUCGAUUAAUAAUAGAUGGAUGAGAUUAAGAGAUGAGAUGUAUUGAAAUCAGAUUGGAUUGAAUAUGCAAUGGCUACAAUUGCAAUUAAAAUUGCUAGAAUUGAAAUGAAAGACGGGUUAUGAUUGAGAUAAAAUUUAAUUGGAGUAGCUAGAAUUGAAAGAAAAUAUAAUAGAAUAGGCUAGAAUUUAAAUAGUUUUAAGGAAAGUGUAGGAAUUAUUAUCUAAUAAAUACUACAUAUAUUAAAGAAUUUUUUUAAUUGAAAAAUCAUUUAAAUUUUAAACUUUUGAAAUUCAUUAAUAAUAUUUACGAUAAUUUUAUAAAGUAAAACAUAUUAAAAUAUAUAAUUUCCAAGCAAAAUCGAUUAAAAAUUCUAAACUUUAAAUAAAUUUUAAAAUACUUAUUUAAUCGAAUAUUAUCCCAAAAAUGGUUAAAGGUCGGUCAAAAUUGGGUGUCAACAGCUGCCCCUUGGUUGAUUGAGAAUGAAGAAUGAAUUGUCAGGCAACCAACGUUGACUUAGUAGCCGAUUUUGUCCGACCGACGAGAGAUGUCAGUUGGAUCAAUUAAAACGAUAUGGAUUUUAAAAAGGGCACAACCGAGACUUUGGUUUUAAGUCGCCUACAUAUCUCUGGUUAUACGAGAAUCAGGUCGUGUGUAGUUCUAGAUUCAAGAGCAAAUGAAACUGUUAAAAGUUGAAAGAGCGGUAAGGUAUUCAGAAGGCACGAUAUCGACUUGAAUGGAUAAGAUUAGAGUAGCGAGAAGAGAGAGAUUGAGAGGCUAAAAGAGCAUGACAAAGAAACGAGAAGAGCAUGAUAGAGUGAGAUUAUCAGCUUUUGCAAGGUUUGGAGUAUGAGUAGUAAAGAAUUAAUAGUGUCUUCGUUGUGAUAGCAUGAUAAUUGUAAUCAACGGGCGAUCCAUCAUAUCUGCAAAUUCUAGAUAAAACGUUAGCUUAUAAAUAAUGUAAGACCAAUAAUGAUAAAAUAUGAGUUCUAAAUAGAUGAUAAAAGGUGAUAAGCGCCUAUUUGUUUUGAGACGUAGUGCAAGCCUUGAUAGUUUUUAACUUCUUGAAGGAUUGAAACUCAUCUCUGAAGAAUAACGUCAAACUCCAAAAUAUUUGAUAGUAUAAACAUAUAAUAAUAUAAGUAAAAUGUCUGGUUGUAAGGAGAGUCUAAACGUCAUUUUAAAGCGGACGAGCCUAAACAUCAUAUUUUAAGACGGAAAAGCCUAAACAUCUUAUUCUAAGGCGGAAGAGCCUAAAUAUCGUAUUGUAAGGCAGACGAGCCUAAACAUCGUAUUGUAAGGCAGAUGAGCCUAAAUAUCCUAUUGUAAGGCGGAAGAGCCUAAACGUCGUAUUGCAAGGCAGACGAGCUUAAACAUCGUAUUAUAAGGCAGAUGAGCCUAAAUAUCCUAUUGUAAGGCGGAAGAGCCUAAACGUCGUAUUGUAAGGCAGACGAGCCUAAAUGUCGUAUUGUAAGGCAGACGAGCCUAAACAUCCUAUUGUAAGGCGAAAGAGCCUAAAUAUCCUAUUAUAUGGCGGAAGAGCCUAAACGUCGUAUUGUAAGGCAGACGAGCCUAAAUGUCGUAUUGUAAGGCAGACGAGCCUAAAUGUCGUAUUGUAAGGCAGACGAGCCUAAACAUCCUAUUGUAAGGCGGAAGAGCCUAAACAUCCUAUUGUAAGGCGAAAGAGCCUAAAUAUCGCAUUUUAAGGCGGAAAAGCCUAAACAUCCUAUUGUAAGGCGGAAAAGCCUAAAUAUCGUAUUAUAAUAAGGCGGGAGAGCUUAAAUAUAUAUUCAGUCAGUCGUAGAAAAAAGUUGAUAAUAGCCUCUUCAAAAAAUAAUCCGAGGAUAGUAUGACUUACAUAGUAGCUCCUAAAUAUGACAAUACGCUCAUAUAUAAUUUAUUCCUGCAUCCAGAGAAAAUUCGUAAAUUCAAAAGGCGAGAGAUGGUCAUACCUGUGCUUGUUUUGCCUUUAGAGUUGCAUUCCCUUGCGAUGAAAUUUUUGAGGAUUUCUCAAAAAUUUCUGCCCCAGUUUAGAGUAUAAGAUAUAUACUCACUUUGUUAAAUAUGUCUAUGAAAAUUUUUGAGGUUUCCUCAAAAAUUCUGCCCCAGUUUAUUAGUGGGGGAAUUUUUGAUUCUGCUUCACUCAAAGAAAAAUUAUAAGUUCCAAAGAAAGUGAUUGUCUUGUAUUUGGACAUUAAGGCUCGACUUAGAAUUCAAGUGUCAAUUAUGUCCAUGGAUUGUCAAUUAGCCUAGAUUUGAAUUUGUAAAGGAGUGUUUUGAAUGACCAUGGGAGAGAAAGAAAAUUUAUUUGAUAGAACCGGACCCAUCAAGGGUUGCCUACGUAUCCAAAAAGGAAAUCAGGUCAAACGUAGUUCAGAAUUACAAGGAAAAAUGAAAGGAAUGAGGAAGGCUUUGGGCAUAAGGUCUGAGAACAAUAAAGCCAACUUUGUUCAUAAGAGUCUUGUCCAUAUCAUUUUCUCUGAUGUGAUUUACGCUUCCUUGUCAAGUUCCUAACGUACAUCUUUGUAGGAUCUCCCUGAACGAUGAAUGUAUUCGCCAUAGAAGGAUUGCAAUUGUUGUUUUGUGGUCCUUGUUGCACUAUAAUUUUUCUUUUUUCAAUCAUAUUCUGAAUCUUAUUUCUCAAUGCUGCACAUUCUUCAGUGUCAUGACCUUGAAUGUUUGAAUAACAGGCACAAUUUUUGGAUAGAUCAAAGUUUGAAGUAGAGUGUUUGGGAAUCCAUCCAUUUAUUGGUCUUAGAAGUCCCUUAGCCCAUAAUCUCUGGAAAAUGUCGGUCAAAGUUUCCUUUAAGGGAGUGAAGACACAAGGUUUCCUCACCUUAUGUUGAGAAACCUGAGGGUUGGAAGGCUCAAGAAUAGCAUGAAUUUGCUCAAUAUUCUGAUUUCUUUGUUUCGGAGGUAUAUAGGUUAAUGCAUCUUCGUUCCUUUCAUCUAAUGAUUCUUUCAGGACUUGAAAAGGAAUUUGUGUAUCAGCAAUUCUUCCAGACUGAAUGCCAUAUUCUAACUCUUUUCGAAUUCGAAUUAGACUGUCGAAACUUUGAAUACCAACGAAGAACAAGGUUUUGUAGUAUAUACCCUCAAGUGAUCUGAUGAGAGUUUGUACCAACUCCUCUUCAUGCGGUAAGUGACGUAUCUUGGAGGCUUCCAUUCUCCAUCGUAUGACAUAUUCCUCAAAAGAUUCAUGACUUAAUUUCUUCAAUUUGAGCAAAUUUAACAUUGUAGGAUCAACCUUCUUAUUAAACUUGUAUUGUUCCACAAAGUCUCGAGCCAUGUCUUCCCAUGCGAGCCAUUUGUCAAAGUCUUGUUUGAUGUACCAAGUGAAGGCUAUUCCUUAUAAGCUUUGAAUAAAUAACCUCAUUAGGAGAGGUUCAUUUUUUUCUAAGCCAACUAGCCUGCUGCAAAAAUCUUUGAGAUGUGCCAUUGGAUCCCCAUGUCCGUCGAACAUGUUGAAUUUUGGAAUUUUAAAUUCUGACGGCAAUUCGACUCCUGGGUGUAGACAUAAAUUUUUAUACCUUAGGUCAUGAGUAGGUAUUGAAUUUAAUCAUCCAUUCACCUUUUUCUCCAAGUCAUGCAUUUUUCGCUGCAAUGCAUCUAGCUUAGACUUCUCUAUUUUGUCACCUAUUCCCUCAUAUCCUACAGCAUCAAAGUUGAGGCGUGUUGGAGACCUUUGUUGAGAGAGGGUGUGAGUAGGAAUAGGAUGAGGAGAGAUGGUCCAAAAGAUACUUUGUUGUGGACGAGAAGAAGGGUGAUUUUUUCGAAGAUUGAACAUAUUUGUCAUAUUGAUGGUUCUUAGUUGAGCCUAAAAUCCAAAUACUAGACAACCAUUAGUCAAAGAAGUAAAUCAAACACAAAAUCGGGUUAAUAUAUAGUAAGCCAAAAUUAUAAUUUCAAAUGAAUAACAUAAUAGCUCAAAGUGGUACAAUUAUAACAGUUAAUAGAAUAAGGUCACAUAAUUGGUUCAAGUCAUAUUUGUCAAUUUAAAGUUUAGAAUCAAAGAAAAUUUAUAUAUACAUUCAAAUAAACAAAUAAAUCAUUCUUCAAUUAAUCUUCAACUUGAACUUCAAGUUUGAAACCUGUCAAAGUAAUCAAAUAACUACACAAGUAAUCACACUUAUUAGUCAAGGUGUGACAAUAUGCAAUCGUUUAAUAACGAAUUAUACAUACAUACAUACAUACACACACACACACACACACACACACACACACACACAUAUAUAUAUAUAUAUAAAAUAAUAGCUUACACAAAUGUGUGAAUGUAAAGAUAGUGUGAAUGUUAAGAACACUAACCAGUUAAGCAAAACAAAUUGAUUCAACUUUUACUUGAACAAAGUAGUAAGAUAGCGAAGAAGAACACUUGAAUAAUUAUUGGAUUCUCAAUGUAUUGUUAGAGUAGCAAGAGAGCAAUGAGAGAAGGGAGAGUAAUGAGAGAAUUUGUGAUUGAGAGUGAAUGAGCGUGUGAGUUGAUGAGAGAACUUGUUAUGAAAGAUGAGUGUCUGUGAAUGAAUUGAGUAUGAGGGAGUCCUAUUUAUAUAGCAAAAGGAGAGAAAAAUAUAAAAAAAAAUAAGGUAAAUAAAUAUUUUUUAGGAAUCAAGUAAGUAUACUAUUUACCUUAUUCAAAAGGAGAUUCAAAUCAGCAAAAAUGUAAAAUAUAUCAUUUCCAAAUAUUACAAGUAAGAGUAAUUAGAAAGAUCAAUAUUAUUUGUCCUUAAAUAAAGAAGAAUCAAAAUCAGAUUAUAUUAUUUAUUCAUUUUUUCCAAAUAUAUGAAAAACUAAAUAUGACAAGAAAAUAAUUAAAGUUUCAAUGAAUACUAUUUUUCCUUAAAUAAGAGCAUGAAAUCAGGUUUAUAUAAAAAUUAACAAAUUUAAUCAAGUAAGAAAUGAAAUUAGGAAGGGUAAUAUUUUCCUUAAAUAAUGAAGAACCAAAUUAAUUUUUUUUUUACUAAAUAAACAAAUAAGUAAUCAAUCCUAUUUUUAAAUAAGGUAAACAAAUAAACUCAAUAAUACAACCAAGUAAAACAAGCAUGAAAAGGAUUAUUUCCAACAAUAAAUUGAUUUAGUUAAACCAAUAGACGAGAUUAUUAAGGAAAGGGAGGAAUUACAUUCAGAUUAUAAUUUGAAACAAUCAAAUAAAUCACAAAAUUGGUGCGAGAUAUCGAUUCAAAUCCAACAUUACAGUAAUCUUGCCCAAAUUCAAUAACAAAAAUCAAUAAACAUGUCAAAAUCACCCAAAGUAGUAAAAUAAUAGAGGUUGAUAGUAUUAAUUCGUAAAAGCAAAUAAUUGAUUAUUCCCUGAGUGAAGCUUCUAUUAUUGAGCCAAAUUAGUUCAUAUUAUGCAUAAACAGAAGUCAUUCCAGAGCCUUCCAAAAUUAUAUAUCUAGAUUUUCAUAGAAAUAACGAAGGGAUAAACGUGCUG